UACGGGGGGGGCAAGCGUUGUUCGGAAUUACUGGGCGUAAAGGGCUCGUAGGCGGCUGCCUAAGUCGGACGUGAAAUCCCACGGCUCAACCGUGGAACUGCGUCCGGUACUGGGCAGCUUGAAUCCAAGAGAGGGAUGCGGAAUUCCAGGUGUAGCGGUGAAAUGCGUAGAUAUCUGGAGGAACACCGGUGGCGAAGGCGGCAUCCUGGAUUGGUAUUGACGCUGAUGAGCGAAAGCCAGGGGAGCAAACGGG
This 253-nucleotide ribosomal RNA is filed under the name uncultured Acidobacteriota bacterium. Its description in RNAcentral is "uncultured Acidobacteria bacterium partial 16S ribosomal RNA". It matches the Rfam family "Bacterial small subunit ribosomal RNA", at positions 524 to 776 of the family's 1533-position model. The record is from RNAcentral. Lineage: Bacteria; Pseudomonadati; Acidobacteriota.